UAAGAAUAAGGAUCGGCUAACUCCGUGCCAGCAGCCGCGGUAAUACGGAGGAUCCAAGCGUUAUCCGGAAUCAUUGGGUUUAAAGGGUCCGUAGGUGGAUAAUUAAGUCAGAGGUGAAAUCCUGCAGCUCAACUGUAGAAUUGCCUUUGAUACUGGUUAUCUUGAGUUAUUAUGAAGUAGUUAGAAUAUGUGGUGUAGCGGUGAAAUGCAUAGAUAUCACAUAGAAUACCAAUUGCGAAGGCAGAUUACUAAUAAUUAACUGACACUGAUGGACGAAAGCGUGGGGAGCGAACAGGAUUAGAUACCCUGGUAGUCCACGCCGUAAACGAUGGUUACUAGUUGUUCGAACUUCGGUUGAGUGAC
Molecule: ribosomal RNA, 363 nt
Filed under: uncultured bacterium
Lineage: Bacteria
Description: bacterial SSU rRNA
Rfam family: Bacterial small subunit ribosomal RNA
Source: RNAcentral